UUGGCUGAACCAUCAGCUGCAACAAAACAACUCCAAGUUUUACAAAUUUCAUCUCCAAAUCUUGCUCAAACCUUCACCAAAUUCAACCAAAAUUUAACUACACUUAGCUCAACACUUGGGAAGUUCAUCUAACUACAAAAACAAGGAGCUUUCCACGGAUUUCUUGGAGCUUCUAAGGACCGAAAAUCCUGCCUAGUUCAUCAACCAAAGUAGGCGCACACAAGAGGAACUUCAAGAGGAUCCCACGGUGGACGCUUGAACUUCGAGUGCCGUUUCUUCUUGUUUACUUGGAGCUGAAAUGGAAGGAAUUGUGGAGAGGACGAUUUGAUGGCCCUUUUGAUUAGAAUUUUGAAUGUAUUCGUUUAGACAACUUUUGGAAGCUGUAUAUUUUAGUAAUUUAAGAUAUUUUGGUAACUUAUGAUGUAAGACUUGAACGAUUAUUAAGGAAUUGACUUUCCUUUA
Long non-coding RNA from Coffea arabica (coffee), 462 nucleotides. RefSeq lists it as uncharacterized. Lineage: Eukaryota; Viridiplantae; Streptophyta; Magnoliopsida; Gentianales; Rubiaceae. The record is from RefSeq and is a predicted model, not a curated record.